GACGAACGCUGGCGGCGUGCCUAACACAUGCAAGUCGAGCGAGUGGAUCUCCUUCGGGAGUGAAGCUAGCGGCGGACGGGUGAGUAACACGUGGGCAACCUGCCUCAUAGAGGGGAAUAGCCUUUCGAAAGGAAGAUUAAUACCGCAUAAGAUUGUAGCUUCGCAUGAAGUAGCAAUUAAAGGAGCAAUCCGCUAUGAGAUGGGCCCGCGGCGCAUUAGCUAGUUGGUGAGGUAACGGCUCACCAAGGCGACGAUGCGUAGCCGACCUGAGAGGGUGAUCGGCCACAUUGGGACUGAGACACGGCCCAGACUCCGACGGGAGGCAGCAGUGGGGAAUAUUGCACAAUGGGGGAAACCCUGAUGCAGCAACGCCGCGUGAGUGAUGACGGCCUUCGGGUUGUAAAGCUCUGUCUUCAGGGACGAUAAUGACGGUACCUGAGGAGGAAGCCACGGCUAACUACGUGCCAGCCGCCGCCGUAA
RNAcentral lists this ribosomal RNA (480 nucleotides) under uncultured bacterium. RNAcentral's name for it is "partial 16S ribosomal RNA". It matches the Rfam family "Bacterial small subunit ribosomal RNA", at positions 28 to 523 of the family's 1533-position model. The record is from RNAcentral.